RNAcentral lists this transfer RNA (76 nucleotides) under Pseudomonadaceae bacterium. RNAcentral's name for it is "tRNA-Thr". It matches the Rfam family "tRNA". Rfam says of the family: Transfer RNA (tRNA) molecules are approximately 80 nucleotides in length. Their secondary structure includes four short double-helical elements and three loops (D, anti-codon, and T loops). Further hydrogen bonds mediate the characteristic L-shaped molecular structure. tRNAs have two regions of fundamental functional importance: the anti-codon, which is responsible for specific mRNA codon recognition, and the 3' end, to which the tRNAs corresponding amino acid is attached (by aminoacyl-tRNA synthetases). tRNAs cope with the degeneracy of the genetic code in two manners: having more than one tRNA (with a specific anti-codon) for a particular amino acid; and 'wobble' base-pairing, i.e. permitting non-standard base-pairing at the 3rd anti-codon position. Lineage: Bacteria; Pseudomonadati; Pseudomonadota; Gammaproteobacteria; Pseudomonadales; Pseudomonadaceae. The record is from RNAcentral.
GCCGAUGUAGCUCAGUUGGUAGAGCGGCGCAUUCGUAAUGCGUAGGUCGCUGGUUCGAAUCCGGUCAUCGGCACCA